Molecule: long non-coding RNA, 1553 nt
Organism: Pan troglodytes (chimpanzee)
Lineage: Eukaryota; Metazoa; Chordata; Mammalia; Primates; Hominidae
Source: Ensembl
UGUGCCGCAGGGGAGGAGACACAUGGACUUGUGCUGGGCUCACAGCUUCCUAAGCAAAAAACAGCAAAGACCACUCCCAGCCUCCUCCAACCACAGGGCGGCUGUGCUGGUGGGAAAGGUGGUGUGUGUGUCUAUGUGUGUGCAUGUGGGGUGCAUGCUUGUGGCGUGCACUCAUGUGGCAUGCACUCAUGUGGCAUGUGUGAUACGGUGUGUGUAGUGUGUGGUGUCUGUGGUCUGUGUAUGGUUUGUGUGUGUGUGUGAUGUGCUGUGGUAUGUAUGGUGUAUGUGUGUAUGUUUGUGUGUGAUUUGCUAUGGUGUGGUGUGUAUCAUUUGUGUGUGUGGUUUGCUCCUUUGUGGUGUGUAUGCUUUGUGUUUGUGCGUGUGGUGUGCUCUGCUGUAGUGUGUAUGGUUUGUGUGUGUGUGUGUGCUGUGCUGUGGUGUGUAUAGUUUGUGUUUGUGUGUGUGCUGUGCUGUGGUGUGUAUGGUUUGUGUUUGUGUGUGUGUGCUGUGCUAUGGUGUGUAUGGUUUGUGUGUGUGUGUGUGUUGUGCUAUGGUGUGUAUGGUCUGCGUGUGUCUGUGUGCUGUGCUGCGGUGUUGUAUGGUUUGUGUUUGUGUGUGUGUGCUGUGCUGUGGUGUGUAUAGUAAGUUGGUUUGUGUGUGUGCUGUGCUAUGGUGUGUAUGGUUUGUGUGUGUGCUGUGCUGUGGUGUGUAUAGUUUGUGUUUGUGUGUGUGCUGUGCUAUGGUGUGUAUGGUUUGUGUGUGUGUGUUCUGUGCUAUGGUGUGUAUGGUUUGUGUGUGUCUGUGUGCUGUGCUGUGGUGUGUAUGAUUUGUGUGUGUGUGUGCUGUGCUCUGGUGUGUAUGGUUUGUGUGUGUGUGUGCUGUGCUGUGGUGUGUAUGGUUUGUGUGUGUGCUGUGCUGUGGUGUGUAUGAUGUGUGUGUGUGUAUGUAUAUGUGGCAUGCUGUGGUGUGUGUGUGUCCCAAGCUGCACAGGGUUGUCACACAGCCCGAGUGCCCUGGUCCCUGCGUUCUUUGUAAUCACAGCCAUGGCAUCUGAGUGUGGCUGGGAGGGAGGCCACCUGCCUGCUUUCCGAGGAUCUCAGCUUUGGGGUGGUAUCAGGGGUGACAGAUGCCCCAGGCGUCUUCUCUCCAGGAGUCAGGGUGGGGUCUCCGAGAGAACAGCACUCAUUGUGAUGAGUGGUUCUGCUUUCUUCCCAGGCCGCCUGCUGUGGGCAGUGAGUGGAAUUUCCCAAGGCUGGCCGGCUUUAGUGUGGCUGUGCGGGAGGGCACAGCAGCAGCACCUGGGCCCACGGAGCUGCCGGAGCUGGGCCCCACUGCCCCCAGCCGCUUGCCCUGCCAGGGAAGGAAAUGCCCAGGACUCUUCUGCCCUAACUUCCCCAUGUCUUUGCUCUGGUCAAGGAGAGCAUUUGCCUUGCCACUAUUACAUCUCCAUGGAAGGUAAAGGCAUGAUGUGUCUCCUUGUAGCAGGAUUGGGCCUGGAUUCUCACUGUGGAAUGGAAAAUCUUGUCCCCUGGUGGAAGCUUUCAACCAGGUGA